GACAGAGGUGCCGAGCGUUAGGCGGAAUCACUGGCUUAAAGCGUGUGUAGGCGGACCGUUAAGUACCUUGUGAAAUCCCACGGCUCAACCGUGGAACGGCUGGGUAUACUGGCGGUCUUGGGCCAUUCAGGGGCAACUGGAACAAGCGGUGGAGCGGUGAAAUGCGUAGAUAUCGCUUGGAACGCCGAAGGUGAAAACAGGUUGCUGGGGAUGUGCCGACGCUGAGACACGAAAGCCAGGGGAGCAAACGGG
RNAcentral lists this ribosomal RNA (252 nucleotides) under uncultured bacterium. RNAcentral's name for it is "partial 16S ribosomal RNA". It matches the Rfam family "Bacterial small subunit ribosomal RNA", at positions 524 to 776 of the family's 1533-position model. The record is from RNAcentral.